UACGUAGGGUGCAAGCGUUAAUCGGAAUUACUGGGCGUAAAGCGUGCGCAGGCGGUGAUGUAAGACAGAUGUGAAAUCCCCGGGCUCAACCUGGGAGCUGCAUUUGUGACUGCAUCGCUGGAGUGCGGCAGAGGGGGAUGGAAUUCCGCGUGUAGCAGUGAAAUGCGUAGAUAUGCGGAGGAACACCGAUGGCGAAGGCAAUCCCCUGGGCCUGCACUGACGCUCAUGCACGAAAGCGUGGGGAGCAAACAGG
Molecule: ribosomal RNA, 253 nt
Filed under: uncultured bacterium
Lineage: Bacteria
Description: partial 16S ribosomal RNA
Rfam family: Bacterial small subunit ribosomal RNA
Source: RNAcentral